Cydia splendana is the source of this 1246-nucleotide long non-coding RNA. RefSeq lists it as uncharacterized. The record is from RefSeq and is a predicted model, not a curated record. Lineage: Eukaryota; Metazoa; Arthropoda; Insecta; Lepidoptera; Tortricidae. The transcript has 2 exons.
CCCGCGCAGUACCGGUCUGCGCUCCUGCGCGUGAGUUGUUUUAUUGCAAUACUUUACAACUAGUUUCAAAGACGCGCAGUGGAAAAAAGUGGACGAACAAAAAGUGUACAUACCACUUCUAGUAAUGUAAAGAUGUUCAUAAACAGUGGAAAGACACUUUUAACUUAAGUGAUUAAAUGUGAAUAACUUUUUGAAACUAAAAUGUAAGUUAGCUCAAACGAAAAGUUUUACAAGUGGACUUAAAAGUUGUAUAUAAAUUUUUGAUGUUUAGCAGUGAGACUAUAAAUGAUUAAGAUACUUAGAAAACAUGUGAUAAGGACAGUUAUUUGAACUAUGUGAUUGAAGAAUUAACUAUGUAUUUUGUCAUUUUAAUUGUGCUAGUGUCCGUUUCUGCGAGAGAUGUUUCACAAAAUUUUAAUUAUGAGCCACGUCAAGAAAGAUUUGAACGGCCAUUUAUCAAUCCGCCUGCACAACCCAAUUAUAGAAAUAGACAUGAAAGUGUUCAAUAUAAUAGACAAAAUGGUCACGUGAAUUUAAACCAACAUGAACAACUUCAUAGUGACAGUAAUGUCAGGAGAUGGAACGCAGAACCAAAUAGAGAUAAUUUUCAUGAGAAUUUUAAUAGCCAAAGGCAAUUUCAUGAAACCAAUAAUAGAGAAAUAUUUUCUAGUGACAGAAAUGAGAGAAAUAGGAACGAAAAUUCAAAUCAAGGUAUACCUUAUGGGCAAUUUGAACCAAAUAACAGAGCAUUUAGUUCUAAUGAUAGAAAUGACAGAGGAUUCCAGGAGAAGAACCCAGGGCACUCUCAUGUAAAUUUAAAUGACCGUGAACCAUUUAAUACGCAAAACAAUAGAGGUUUAAGUGAUAAUGACUAUAGUAAUAUAAAUUACAAUAGUCAAGGACGCUCACAUGAUAACACAGGAAGCGUGGAUAUCAACAUGGCUUUUGAUGGACGGGGUAAUCAAAAUAGACGUGAACAAAGCAAUUUGAACAUACCACGUCAAAGUUUUAACAUCAACAAUGAAUACUCUAACAGAGAUGUCGCUAAUAAUAGAAGUAGUAGUAGGGAUAGUAAUAGAGAUGAAAAAUACAAUCAAAACGUUUUGAAUGCCCGUAGGCAACAAGAUGAAAUCACAAUGGAUGAUUAUAACAAAGAAACACAGAAUAACCACAGAAAUUCUAACAACCAAAGCAACGACGGUAUAGUUCCGUUUAUAAAUAAUCUAAGUAACAAUACAAAUCAAAA